This 12353-nucleotide long non-coding RNA is filed under the name Oryza sativa (Asian cultivated rice). RNAcentral describes it as "long non-coding RNA (OSAT_LNC001636)". The record is from RNAcentral. Lineage: Eukaryota; Viridiplantae; Streptophyta; Magnoliopsida; Poales; Poaceae.
CUGGAAACAGAGACAAAUGCCGUGCAGUCGAACUGAGGUUUAAGCCUGUUGCACACCGCUCUGGCAAGAGUCGUCUUGCCCAACCCUCCUCCUCCAACGACAGUGCCAACGCGUUCAUCAGCUCGUCGCUUGCCUCGUCGAUGCCAACCAGCUCCGCCUCGUCUCUGUACAGGCCGUAUAGCCGCGGAUCGCAGCCGCCGGUGGCGGCGGAGGCGGCACCGUUGUUGAACCGGGCGACAACGGUGUCGGUGACAUGGGACCGGGAGUAUCAUGACUAGAGGUUUGGGCAGGAGCAAUCACCCACGUGGCCUGACCCCCUCGGGGGGGGGGGGGGGUCGGGCCCGAGGGUGAUGAGGCCGCCACUCUCUUCGUCUCCCCGAGGGGUCGGACCGCUCCCGUUUCGGCCCCGAGGGCCGAGGCGCCCCGACCCCUUAUGGGUUUUGCGCCGCGUGUAUGGGUUAGGUGAGCACAGCGAGGCUCACCUAACCGCAUUUAUUGCAGGUUUGAACGAGCGCGUCACGCCGCAUGUAACGCAGUGCAGCGCGCUCGUUUAUCCGGUCUGUGACCGGUCACAGACCGGUCAGAUCGUGGGUUAGGUGACAACAGGCGGUCUGACACACGCCUCGCCCCAUCCCGUCAGGAUAAGAGCCUCCAGGCACUUGUCCCUAGCCGGAGCCAGCGUGCUAGCUCCUGGAGAUGGCACGUUGGUCCCGGUCAGAUAUAUGCCAGGCUUCAUCCCAACCGUUACAAGCAAGACAUUGUAUGAAGAAGGGCGAACAUGCAGAUUGAUAAACUGACGCGUGGUGGACAAGAAUGACCGAUUUGUGACCGGCCUGACACUGGUCAUGUCGUCGGCAGAUAGCCAUGUUCCCACGUCGCACCUGCUUCCGGCGGAAGUGGAGGUAGGUAUGGGCCGUCCUAUCAGAAGGUCAUUCGGACGGCAACCAUUACAAAUCUCCGCCCAUUUAUGAAGGAAAGGCGGGCGAAGUUUUAGAAAAAAGAGCAAGUUUUAGAAAAAAGAGGAUGGGUCCCCACCAAAAAGGGAAAUAGGUAGAAGUGGUGCAUGUGGUAUCCCCUUGAGAUAUAAAAGGAGGACCUUGCCCACUUGCGGGAGAAAAAAAAGAAAAAGAGGGGAGGAGAAGAUCCCACGAGAGGAAAAAAGGAGGAAAGGGGUUUCUAGAGUUUGAGCGCUCUGGCUCUCCAGCUCUUGGUAGCUUCUUCAUACACAGAUCUACCAGAACACAGGAGUAGGGUAUUACGCUUCUCAGCGGCCCGAACCUGUAUACAUCGCCCGUGUCUUGUGUGUUUCCACUUUGGCGAACGUUCUACAGACUAGGAGCUUAGAACCUCACCCAGGGCCCCCGGCCGAACCGGCAAAGGGGGACCUGCGCGGUCUCCCGGUGAGGAGCCCCACGCUCCGUCAUCUGGCGCGCCAGGUAGGGGGCUCUGCGUGUGUUUUUCUAAGCUCUCAUACUCUUUCGUGUGCGCCAAGCUUUUCCUGUUCAGCCCAAUGGCUGAACAAGCAAAAGCGCACAACCUCUCUCCGAGUGUUAGCGGUGACGACGGGGAGCCGAACCCACGCCGUCGAGCUCGUACUCCGCCGCCCCCUCCACGCCAAAGUCCAAGGCGGGAGGAGGCGCUCGAGAGGGUCGAAGGAUCCGCGACUUCAACAUCCACGGGUGAUGGGAAAGGGCGCCGAGAUGGGGAGCGUCGCCUCCUCGUCUACGGCGACGGCAGCACGCCCCAGGGCGUGCUCCAAGCUGCGGGCGCGCUCCUACGUGACCCGCCCGUUGUCCCUGACCCGGAGUCUCCAGCCCAACGUUGGCUGGACGACGUGGCCAACUUGGUCAUGACGGCACGGCAGCGCCUAGGUGUUGGUGGGCGGUCCUCCGCCACCAAGACCUCUGGCGCUGCUACCACCGGCUCCGUAUCGUCAAGACGGAGGGCGCGGCGAGCGGCGGUUGUUGCUCGCCAUUCAACUGCCACUCCCCCGUCAGCACCUCCGACCCGGGAAGAUCAGCGUGGGGUGCCAGAUGCCCACAUCGGUAUCGAGCGCCGGCGUGAUGGUCGACGUGCUGCCCACGCAACGGAGGGCGCCUCCUCGUCCGGAGUGUCACCUCAACACGGACGCGGGGAUCAGCCCUCCGUGCCCCCGGUUGGUGGUGUCGGCUGUAGAGCCUUUGUGGCGAGCCUUCGGAACGUCCGUUGGCCCCCAAGGUUCCGGCCCACCAUCGCCGAAAAAUAUGACGGGAGCGUCAACCCCGCCGAGUUUCUCCAGGUCUACACGACCGGGAUCGAGGCCGCCGGGGGUGAUGACAGGGUCAUGGCGAAUUUUUUUCCCAUGGCCCUGAAGGGACAGGCGCGGGGUUGGCUAAUGAACUUGCCACCCGCGUCGGUCCACUCUUGGGAGGAUUUGUGCCAACAGUUCACCAUGAACUUUCAAGGCACAUAUCCGUGCCCAGGUGAAGAAGCGGACCUACACGCAGUACAGCGAAGGGAUGAUGAGUCACUUCGCUCAUACAUUCAGCGGUUCUGUCAAGUCCGCAACACCAUACCAUGCAUCCUUGCACACGCGGUGAUCUACGCGUUCAGGGGGGGUGUGCGGCACAACCGCAUGCUCGAAAAGAUCGCCUCCAAGGAGCCCCAGACUACCGCGGAGCUUUUUCAGCUCGCGGACCGAGUGGCUCGUAAGGAGGAGGCCUGGACCUGGAACCCCUCCGGUUCCGGUGUGGCGACUUCGGCCGCCCCCGGGUCCGCUGCUCGGAUAGGGCGGCGUGACAGGAGGAGGAAGAAGAGGUCAGCCGAUUCCGACGACGAGGGUCAUGUCCUCGCCGUCGAGGGCGCUUCGCGGGCCACCCGAAAGGGGAGGCCUGCGAGCGACAAAAAGAAGGAGGCCGGCGCUCCCAGCAGGGAGCGCCCAACCGGCAAGUGGUGCAUCGUCUACAACACCUCCCUUCACGACCUCGCGGACUGCCGCGCAGUCAAAAGUUUGGCUGAGCGGACGAGGAAGUGGGAGGAGGAGAGGAGGCAGGUGCGCCGAGAGGGUAAGUCCCCGGCGGUACCCUCCGGCAAUCGGCGAAGCGAGGCCAAGCAGAAGGCCCCCGCCGAGGACAUCGAUGAUGGUGAUGAUGACCUAGGUUUCCAGGAGCCUGGGGCCACCAUUGCCACUGUCGAUGGGGGAGCGUGUGCUCACGUUUCUCGCCGGAACCUUAAGGCCAUGAAGCGAGAGCUUCUGGCCGCGGCCCCUACUCAUGAGGCGACGCGUCGGGCGCGGUGGUCGGAGGUUGCCCUCACCUUCGACCAGACCGACCACCCACCGUGUGUUGCCCGGGGAGGACAGAUCGCGAUGGUGGUUUCCCCCACUGUUUGCAACGUGAAGUUGGGGCGUGUCCUCAUAGACGGGGGGCAGCCCUCAACAUCCUUUCCCCCGCGGCCUUUGACGCCAUCAAGGCCCCGGGGAUGGUGCUCCGGCCGUCCCAGCCGAUUAUCGGUGUGACGCCGGGGCACACAUGGCCGUUAGGUCAUAUCGACCUACCGGUCACCUUCGGUGGAUCCGCCAACUUCCGCACGGAGCGGAUAAACUUCGAUGUGGCGGACCUAAGUCUGCCCUACAACGCGGUCCUAGGAAGGCCCGCGUUGGUGAAGUUCAUGGCGGCGGUCCAUUACGCCUACCUCCAGAUGAAGAUGCCGGGCCCCGGUGGUCCCAUCUCUGUCCAUGGCGACCUCAAAGUCGCGCUUGCUUGUAUGGAGCAGCGCGCGGACCACCUCGCCGCUGUGUCCAAGCCCGAGGGUGGCGAUGAGAGGCUUGGCACCUCCGUCCCCGCCGCCCCGAGGCAGCGGAUGAUCACAUGCGAUGAGGUCCCGGUCAAGGAGGUUGCCCUGGGUGACGGCCCGUCCAAGACCACACGAAUCGGUGGUCUUUUGGAUGGCAAAUAGGAAGACGCGCUCGUCUCCUUCCUGCGGGCAAACGCUGACGUCUUCGCAUGGAGACCGGCGGAUAUGCCCGGGGUCCCCAGGGAGGUGAUUGAGCACCGUCUCGCCGUGCGGCCGGGCGCAAGGCCGGUCCGGCAGAAAGUGCGGCGGCAGGCCCCGGAACGUCAAGCCUUCAUCCGUGAGGAGGUGGCGCGACUUCUAGAGGCCGGAUUCAUCCACGAGGUCAUCCAUCCGGAGUGGCUGGCGAACCCGGUGGUCGUUCCCAAGGCGAACGGCAAACUUCGGAUGUGCAUCGACUACACCGACCUUAACAAGGCAUGUCCUAAGGACCCUUACCCCCUGCCUCGCAUAGAUCAGAUUGUCGACUCCACAGCGGGGUGCGACCUUUUGUGUUUUCUAGAUGCAUACUCUGGUUACCAUCAGAUUCGCAUGGCUAGGGAGGAUGAGGAAAAAACUGCAUUCAUUACCCCCAUAGGAACUUAUUGUUAUACGACAAUGCCCUUCGGGUUAAAGAAUGCAGGUCCUACUUUUCAACGUACUACUCGAAUUUCUUUGGGUAGCCAAAUAGGACGUAAUGUUGAGGCUUAUGUCGAUGACUUGGUUGUGAAGACGCGCAACCAAGAAACUUUACUUUCGGAUCUGGCGGAAACUUUCGAGAGUCUCCGCUCCGCCCGCAUAAAGCUGAACCCCGAUAAGUGCGUGUUCGGUGUACCUGCGGGCAAGCUUCUCGGGUUCUUGGUCUCUGCCCGAGGCAUCGAGGCCAACCCCGAGAAGAUACGAGCUAUAGAGCGGAUGCACCCCCCCAGCAAGCUUAGGGAUGUGCAAUGCGUCACCGGUUGCAUGGCCGCCCUAAGUCGGUUCAUAUCGAGGCUGGGAGAGAAGGCGCUACCCUUAUUUAAGCUCCUCAAACGCUCCGGGCCGUUUACUUGGACGGAGGAAGCUGAACGUGCCCUCACUCAGUUGAAGGCGUAUCUCAGCUCUCCCCCAGUUCUGGUCGCCCCGGAGCCAGAUGAACCCUUGCUACUCUACUUAGCGGCGACCCCGCAAGUAGUUAGUGCGGCGUUGGUUGUGGAGCGCGAUGAGGGCAAUCCUCAUUCCGCGCAUCCCCACCCUGUGCUGGCUUGGCCCGGGAGAGAGCAGGGAGGAGAGGCCCCCGAGCCGAACGGUGGCCCAAGGCCCCCGACGACCGGAGCUGGCCCUCUGCCCGCUUGUCAGACGGUGCCAGGUGCCCCCGACCCCCAGGAUGGCCUGGGGGCCACUGCGGGAAGGCCGCACCUAUCGCCCUCUGACCCCGAGGUUAACCCUGUGCCGACUCGACCCGGGAGAGAGCAGGGAGGAGAGGCCCCCGAGCCGAACGGUGGCCCAAGGCCCCCGACGACCGGAGUUGGCCCUUUGCCCGCUUGUCCGACGACGCCAGGAGCCCCCGACCCCCAGGACGGCCCCGAGGCCACUGUGGGAAGGCCGCGCCUAUCGUCCUCCGACCCCGAGGUCGUCGGCACAGAAGACGAGUGCGCCCCGCGAGGCCGCUUGGACGAAGAGCGCCCCAGGGAUGCGGCCCCUGGCGAAGAGGAUCGGCCCCACCGAAAGGUGCAGCGGCCCGUCUACUUUGUUAGUGAGGCCCUCCGGGACGCCAAGACUCGAUACCCUCAGGCCCAGAAGAUGCUUUACGCUAUUCUGAUGGCUUCGAGGAAACUGCGCCAUUAUUUCCAGGCGCAUCGGGUCACGGUGGUUACGUCUUACCCCCUCGGACAAAUCUUGCAUAAUCGAGAGGGUACAGGACGGGUGGUGAAAUGGGCAAUUGAACUUUCUGAGUUCGAUUUGCACUUUGAACCACGUCACGCUAUCAAGAGCCAGGCCCUCGCCGAUUUUGUGGCAGAGUGGACCCCGGCUCCCGAGCCCCUCUCAGUCCCCGAGGCCAGCUCGGGCCCCUCGCAGCUGCCUCACACCGCCCACUGGGUGAUGCAGUUCGACGGCUCCUUGUCUCUUCAGGGCGCCGGUGCGGGGGUCACGUUGACCUCGCCGAGCGGAGACAUCCUCAGAUACCUGGUUCGCCUCGACUUUCGGGCGACCAAUAAUAUGGCAGACUACGAGGGACUCCUUGCGGGACUCAGGGUGGCAGCUGGACUGGGGAUCCGCCGCCUCCUGGUGUUAGGCGACUCCCAGCUGGUUGUUAACCAGGUGUGUAAGGAGUACCGAUGCUCUGACCCGCAGAUGGAUGCUUACGUACGCCAAGUACGGCGUAUGGAGCGCCAUUUCGACGGGAUAGAGCUUCGGCACGUGCCCAGACGGGAUAACACGAUUGCCGACGAACUCUCACGAGUCGCUUCCUCGCGAGCCUAGACCCCACCGGGCGCCUUUGAAGAAAGGCUUGCCCAGCCGUCGGCGCGACCCGACCCCUUAGGGGAGACGGACGCGCCUGACCGGCCCCCGAGGCCCGUCGGAGUCCAGGCCUCGGGACCCGAGGGGAGCGCUCCCAGCUCCCUUAGAUUGAUUGCUUGGAUCGCUGAGAUCCAAGCAUACCUCACAGAUAAGACUCUACCCGAGGACCGCGAAUGGAGUGAACGCGUCCAGCGCAUCUCCAAACGCUACGUGCUGGUAGAAGGGACCCUCUAUUGGCGCGCGGCUAACGGAAUCCUCCUGAAGUGCAUUCCUCGGGAACAAGGCGUCGAGCUUCUUGCCGAUAUCCAUGAAGGCGAAUGCGGAGCCCACUCCGCCUCGCGCACCUUGGUUGGCAAAGCCUUUCGUCAAGGUUUCUAUUGGCCGAUAGCUCUCAAUGAUGCGGUCGACCUGGUCCGGCGAUGCAGAGCGUGUCAAUUCCACGCCAAGCAAAUCCAUCAGCCGGCCCAGGCCCUGCAGAUCAUACCACUUUCAUGGCCAUUUGCUGUCUGGGGGCUCGAUAUCCUGGGACCGUUUAGGCGGGCCCCGGGCGGAUUUGAGUAUCUGUAUAUCGCGAUCGACAAGUUCACUAAGUGGCCCGAGGCUUAUCCGGUCGUCAAGAUCGAUAAGCACUCCGCACUUAAGUUCAUUAAGGGCAUUACAGCCCGGUUUGGGGUGCCUAACCGUAUUAUUACGGAUAAUGGCACCCAAUUCACUAGUGAACUUUUCGGCGGUUACUGCGAAGACAUGGGCAUCAAGCUCUGCUUCGCCUCCCCCGCCCACCCCAGAAGCAAUGGCCAAGUAGAGCGCGCCAAUGCGGAAAUCCUCAGAGGCCUUAAAACCAAGACCUUCAACAUCCUCAAGAAGCACGGCGAUUCGUGGAUCGAGGAGUUGCCAGCGGUGCUCUGGGCGAACCGAACCACACCAAGCCGAGCAACCGGGGAAACGCCUUUCUUCCUCGUCUACGGCGCGGAAGCGGUUCUCCCAUCCGAGCUCACCCUGAGGUCCCCUCGGGCCACCAUGUACUGCGAGGCUGAUCAAGAUCAGCUUCGCAGAGAUGACCUCGACUACUUGGAGGAGCGAAGGCGGCGCGCGGCCCUCCGAGCCGCGCGCUACCAGCAGAGCCUGCGGCGCUACCAUCAGCGCCGCGUCCGGGCCCGAUCACUCUGCGUCGACGACCUCGUCCUACGCCGCGUCCAAACGCGUGCUGGAUUGAGCAAGCUCUCACCAAUGUGGGAGGGUCCGUAUCAAGUGAUCAGCGUCUCCCGGCCGGGCUCCGUUCGGCUGGCCACGGGCGACGGCACAGAGCUGCCUAACCCGUGGAACAUCGAACACCUUCGUCGCUUCUACCCCUAAUGGGGUUCGGGUGUCAGGUUUCGGGCUCGGGCCAACCCCGCACCCCCCUCGGGCGUGCAGGGUUGGCCGGGGGCUACCACAUAUGCAUAUUCUUAUUUCUCUUCUAUCUGUAUUUCAAUAAAAGCAUUUUCGAUUUCCUAAAGGCUGUGUCUGUGCUGUUGUUUCCUUUUGAAGAAUCUUGACUUGAAAUAGGUCACUCGUGCUCAAUCCUGCCCUCGGGGGCUCGAGUCGGGUAAAAUCGCCAAAAGGGGCCCAGAACCGAGCCGUGCCCCGGGGUGCGGUGAACUCCGGGGGGGGGGGGGGGGGGGAAUCGGCAAAAACCCACAAUCGGGUCACCCAUAACCCUCGGUCACCACACUCCUGGCCUGGCCAGUCUCGGCACGUGGAUCUCCCCAGGCACUAGCCCCGACCCGAGCCAUUUGAGGACUGGGACCUGGGCACGAGCCCUUGUUCGAGCUAAGACACAAAAGGACCAUGGCACAGAUCAUCCUCGUUCUCAUACACACAGUAAAAUGAAAUUGACACAGAAAUUUCUUUAUUUUGAUUGCAGAGUAGGUUAAUCUAUACAAAAAGGAGGCCCGAAGGCCUCGGAAGAAAAAAAAAAGAUUGGCGGGGACCUGGAAGCUCACUCCGAUGCACCCGGGUCGCCAGCCUCAUCGCCACUGUCGCCCACACCGCCGUCAUCGCCCUCCUCGUCGGAGCUGAGGGCGAACGCGAGCCAAGGGGCCGAACCCUCGAAGCUGUGGACGAUAUGGCUGGCGGCGUCUUGGACCCGCGCGCGCGUGCCGUCCUCAGUCCCGGGAGGGAACUCGUCCAGCGCCGUCCAUGGGGAGAAGUCGGGGUCCCUGGCCUGGUAACUCGCCAGUACGAGCUCCACCGCUCCUCGGGCGAGGUCCCUCGAGGAUGACUUAAUCGUCCUCUCGAGCUCCUCGGGGAGCCGUUGGAGAGUCCCGGCCAUCUCCGAGAGGCGCUGGGCGAGGCCUCCCUGGUUGGCGGCGUACUUCGCAGUCCGCCCGCCCCAGAGACCCGCCUGCCGCCCGGCGCGGUCUAAACGGGACACGGCGUCGCGAAGCAUGCUGGGCCCUAUCUCGCCUGCCAGACGAAGGGCCUCGACCUCCCCGGUGGACGAAUUCAGCGCGCCCUGCAGAUCCGCGAUGGUGUGUUCGGCAGCUGCGAGGCGGGCGGCUAAGUCGCUGUCGCCCGUGGCCGCCCCGCCGCUACGCGCCCUUGCAUCCAGCUCCCUUGCCUGCGCCUCGAGUUCAGCGGCCCGUUGGUUCAGUGCGGCCCUCUCGGCACGGGCACCUUCCAGAUUGCGACGCGCUUGUUCCUCUUGCGCAGCUUCGCGGAGGGACGCGCUCUCCACCAGCCUUUGCGCUGCGGCUUCGGCCUCCUCGAGGGCUCGCUCCCGCUCGGUGAGCACAUCCUCGCGGAGACGGAGUGCGGACUCUUCUUCGGCACAGGCGGCUUCGUGCGCCGCCAGUGUGACCUCCCGAAUGGCAACGGCGGCCUCGCGGUCCGCCAGGUCCCUCUCCACGACGCCGGCACGCUCUUCCAGCGCCAUGGCACGGGCCUCAAGGGCUUCUUCGCACCGCCGGGAUGCCACCUCGGUCUCUUGGGCAGCGGCAGCGUCAAGGACCCCCCGGGCGGCGUCGAGCUUCUUCCCUAGCUCCGCCUCCCAACUCCUGUGUUGAAGGCGGAGGUCGUCCUGUGCCUCGUUCAUCACGGUAGUGGCGAUGAGGGCAGCCCCCCGCUCCUCCUCCACCUCCCUGGCGAUCUCCUCCAGCACCUUCCGACGGGCUUCGAGCUCUGAGGCGUGCCGGCAGUGUGCCUUGCGGCCCACCUCCACCAUGGCCUCCACCGCGCGUCGCCCCUCUUCGACACGCGCCCAUGCGGCGUCGAGCUCCGCCCGCUCUGCUUGCAGGGCCUCCAUCUGGGCACUUAACCCGUCCAACACCGUGGUGUUUGCGACGGCUAAGGCCUGCAGAAGGGGCUCUGCACUCAGUGGGGCAACGGAAGGCGUGGGGGAGAGCCGCCUCGGUGAGGAUGCCGCGCGGCUCGGCCCGCCGAUGGACGUGCCGGGCUCGGGGACGUCCCCCGGACCUGACUUGUCCUGAGUGUCGCCCGAGGGAGUGGGCCCAAGCGAUGCGCCCGCGGCCUCGUCGCGAGCUGCCUCGGAAGUCGUCGCCGCCUCGGCCUGGCGGAGUCUGGCCUCCUCCCGUGCGGUUUCUUCAGCCUGGCGGGCCCGGACGGCCUCCCGGGCGGCCUCCUCGGCUUCCCGUAGGCGAUCCGCGGCUUCUCGCCGGUCAGAUUCCCGCCUCCGGGCCUCCGCGGUCGCCGUAUCCUCGGCCUCAGACUGGCCGGACUUGGAAUGGCGGGAGGGACGCGACGAGAUCUCGCUGAAACAGAAGAAAGACCAGAAGACAAACAAGAUGGGUGAGUGAAAACUCGCGUUGGGAGAAUGAAUACAGCCACAAUGGGCGUGGGACGAACCUGCGAGGAGGUCGGUUAAACGACCACCUUGGAGGGGAAAUGAGGUUUCCCCGGGAUGGUUCUGUCCCCCCAUCUUGCGGAGCCGUUUUUUCUUCCGCUCCCCCUCGGGCUGCGGCAUCGGCGCGGCCCCCUCCGGGCGCCUGCUGCUGACACGCGCCGCCCCGCCCCCUCGGGGAGGAGAUGGGGAGGAGGUACCCUCCUGCUUCCUCUUCCCUCGGGCGUCGGCAGGGCGGCAGCCCCCCGAGCCCCCGUCACAAAGCCCGGAAGCACGACCCCCUCCUGGGGUAGAUUGUUCUCCCCUGCAGCUCCCGCCCGCGCCAUCAUGGCCUCGAGAAGCCUGCUCCUCUGAGGCUCUGACCGCCAUCAUGAUGGUCAGGAUGUUGGCGCGAUCUGGAUCGUUGCAGAGGGGGAGGACUCCUUGGGGGAUGAGGGAUGCCUCCACGGAGCUGAGAUUCAGCACCCGUUGGAUCAUUACCUUGAAGUCUUCAGGGACCCAGUCCCAUUUGACCCCCCGGUGGGUCCUCAUACAGUCCUCGGACCCGGUGUACUCCCAGGCGCCCCGGGCGCGCCGCUGGAGUGGCGCGAUCCGGCGACGAAGGUAGUCGCCGUACACCAUGGCCCCUGUGAGCCCCUGGGAUCGCAGGCCCGUCAGGCGGUCGAGGACGGCGUCGUAGCCAUCUCCCAGAUCUACCGGCGCCCGCCAGCUGGAGGCCUGCGCCGGGGGCUGGCUCGGAAGUCGGAGGCGCGCUUCGUCGGCGAGGGGGGUGUAGAACCAGUCGCUCUUCGCGUCAUCCCACUUCUUGCGGAGGACGCAGGGAAUGUAGCGGUUCAGCACCGGCCCCCGCGGUUGGAAGUAGCAGCCACCAACCACCGACGGCGGCGACACCGGCUGUACGGUGAAGAACCACCGGAACAGCCGAAGGGAUGGGCGCACCCCGAUGAACAUCUCGCACAGGUGCGCGAAGAUGGCCAAUGUCAUUACCGCGUUGGGGGUGAGGUGCGCCAUCUGGAGAUCGUAAAACUCCAGAAUAUCCAUGAAGAAAGAAGAAAAUGGCGGAACCAGCCCUGCCAUUGCGAAAGGGAGGAAGAAAACGGACCGCCCCGGGUAGCGUGGCGCCGGGCGUCCCUCGCCCAGCGUAACUAUCUCCCGGCCGGUGGCAGAUUCUGGCAUGAAGCGGCGCGGCAGCCCGGCCUGCCUCUCGCUCACGAUGCGGGAAGGCGGCAGCACGCUACCAUCGAGUGGAGCGGAGCCCCGUGCCAUGACGCCGGUAGAAGAGAUGUUUGAGAGCGAGCGCGUGUGGCGAGGGUAGGGCAUAGGAAACAAGGAGUUAGGGCGCAAGCGGCGAAGACAAGGGGAAUAAUGGCGAGAGGAAGGAAGCGAAUCUCUUCCUCGGUGUCUUUAUACCUUUGCCAACGCUGUGCCCGGCUCCUCGCUUCUUGCGCCCACUAUCUCGCUCCCUCUUUUCUCGCGCCCACGCUUCCACUAAUCCCAUUCGCCCGCUUGCGGCGCGUGAGGUGGAUAUGCGGUUGUGGCAGUCGAGAUGGAACAUAUCAUGCGCACGUUAAAUACACUCGCCGACCGAAGCACCAUCAGCAUAUCUCCGGGCAAAACGAACCGGCUCGUCCCGAUUCGCGUGCUACUCGAGUAAUGUGGCAGUCUUGAAGAGGCCGCUCAUUAUUGACAGUCGAGUUACCAUUGCCGAUGUGCGUGAUUUGCGACCGUUGUUUUUCUGCCCAACUGUAGAGACCAGCCCCACUUGUCACCAGGCCUAAGUAAGUGGCGUCACGCCCGACCGCUUCCCUCGAGGAGGGCGAUCGCCCUGGCAUAACGCCGGGGGCUACUGUCGGUGACAUGGGACCGGGAGUAUCGUGACUAGAGGUUUGGGCAGGAGCAAUCACCCACGUGGCCUGACCCCCUCGGGGGGGGGGGGGGGGGUCGGGCCCGAGGGUGAUGAGGCCGCCCCUCUCUUCGUCUCCCCGAGGGGUCGGACCGCUCCCGUUUCGGCCCCGAGGGCCGAGGCGCCCCGACCCCUUGUGGGUUUUGCGCCGCGUGUAUGGGUUAGGUGAGCACAGCGAGGCUCACCUAACCGUAUUUAUUGCAGGUUUGAACGAGCGCGUCACGCCGCAUGUAACGCAGUGCAGCGCGCUCGUUUAUCCGGUCUAUGACCGGUCACAGACCGGUCAGAUCGUGGGUUAGG